AGCGAACGCUGGCGGCAGGCUUAACACAUGCAAGUCGAGCGCCCCGCAAGGGGCGCGGCAGCCGGGAGAGUAACACGUGGGAACAUACCUUUUGGUUCGGAACAACUGAGGGAAACUUCAGCUAAUACCGGAUAAGCCCUUACGGGGAAAGAUUUAUCGCCGAAAGAUUGGCCCGCGUCUGAUUAGCUAGUUGGUGAGGUAACGGCUCACCAAGGCGACGAUCAGUAGCUGGUCUGAGAGGAUGAUCAGCCUCACUGGGACUGAGACACGGCCCAGACUCCUACGGGAGGCAGCAGUGGGGAAUAUUGGACAAUGGGGGCAACACUGAGCCAGCCAUGCCGCGUGAGUGAUGAAGGCCUUAGGGUUGUAAAGCUCUUUUGCCCGGGAAGAUAAUGACGGUACCGGGAGAAUAAGCCCCGGCUAACUUCGUG
Molecule: ribosomal RNA, 431 nt
Filed under: uncultured bacterium
Lineage: Bacteria
Description: partial 16S ribosomal RNA
Rfam family: Bacterial small subunit ribosomal RNA
Source: RNAcentral